Molecule: ribosomal RNA, 497 nt
Filed under: uncultured bacterium
Lineage: Bacteria
Description: partial 16S ribosomal RNA
Rfam family: Bacterial small subunit ribosomal RNA
Source: RNAcentral
GAUGAACGCUGGCGGCGUGCCUAAUACAUGCGAGUCGAGCGAACAGACGAGGAGCUUGCUCCUCUAACGUUAGCGGCGGACGGGUGAGUAACACGUGGAUAACCUACCUAUAAGACUGGGAUAACUUCGGGAAACCGGAGCUAAUACCGGAUAAUAUAUUGAACCGCAUGGUUCAAUAGUGAAAGACGGUUUUGCUGUCACUUAUAGAUGGAUCCGCGCCGCAUUAGCUAGUUGGUAAGGUAACGGCUUACCAAGGCAACGAUGCGUAGCCGACCUGAGAGGGUGAUCGGCCACACUGGAACUGAGGCACGGUCCAGACUCCUACGGGAGGCAGCAGUAGGGAAUCUUCCGCAAUGGGCGAAAGCUUGACGGAGCAACGCCGCGUGAGUGAUGAAGGUCUUCGGAUCGUAAAACUCUGUUAUUAGGGAAGAACAAAUGUGUAAGUAACUAUGCACGUCUUGACGGUACCUAAUCAGAAAGCCACGGCUAACUACGUG